CUCUUCAAUCAUACCAUCCUGAAUGUAUCCAGGAUCCUUUGAUCACAGGAGCUAAGCAGGGUGGCACAUGCAUAGUACUUGGAUGGGAGACUUGGUAAAUAUUUUCAAUGUUUUAGAAA
RNAcentral lists this ribosomal RNA (119 nucleotides) under Ochotona princeps (American pika). Lineage: Eukaryota; Metazoa; Chordata; Mammalia; Lagomorpha; Ochotonidae. The record is from RNAcentral.